This 595-nucleotide ribosomal RNA is filed under the name Aspergillus niger. RNAcentral's name for it is "eukaryotic LSU rRNA". The stretch from base 216 to 369 matches the Rfam family "5.8S ribosomal RNA". Lineage: Eukaryota; Fungi; Ascomycota; Eurotiomycetes; Eurotiales; Aspergillaceae. The record is from RNAcentral.
UCCGUAGGUGAACCUCCGGAAGGAUCAUUACCGAAUGUGGGUCUUUGGGCCCAACCUCCCAUCCGUGUCUAUUGUACCCUGUUGCUUCGGCGGGCCCGCCGCUUGUCGGCCGCCGGGGGGGCGCCUCUGCCCCCCGGGCCCGUGCCCGCCGGAGACCCCAACACGAACACUGUCUGAAAGCGUGCAGUCUGAGUUGAUUGAAUGCAAUCAGUUAAAACUUUCAACAAUGGAUCUCUUGGUUCCGGCAUCGAUGAAGAACGCAGCGAGAUGCGAUAACUAAUGUGAAUUGCAGAAUUCAGUGAAUCAUCGAGUCUUUGAACGCACAUUGCGCCCCCUGGUAUUCCGGGGGGCAUGCCUGUCCGAGCGUCAUUGCUGCCCUCAAGCCCGGCUUGUGUGUUGGGUCGCCGUCCCCCUCUCCGGGGGGACGGGCCCGAAAGGCAGCGGCGGCACCGCGUCCGAUCCUCGAGCGUAUGGGGCUUUGUCACAUGCUCUGUAGGAUUGGCCGGCGCCUGCCGACGUUUUCCAACCAUUCUUUACCAGGUUGACCUCGGAUCAGGUAGGGAUACCCGCUGAACUUAAGCAUAUCAAUAAGCGG